GACGAACGCUGGCGGCGUGCCUAAUACAUGCAAGUUGAGCGCUGAAGGUUGGUACUUGUACCAACUGGAUGAGCAGCGAACGGGUGAGUAACGCGUGGGGAAUCUGCCUUUGAGCGGGGGACAACAUUUGGAAACGAAUGCUAAUACCGCAUAAAAACUUUAAACACAAGUUUUAAGUUUGAAAGAUGCAAUUGCAUCACUCAAAGAUGAUCCCGCGUUGUAUUAGCUAGUUGGUGAGGUAAAGGCUCACCAAGGCGAUGAUACAUAGCCGACCUGAGAGGGUGGACGGCCACAUUGGGACUGGGGCACGGCCCAAACUCCUACGGGAGGCAGCAGUAGGGAAUCUUCGGCAAUGGACGAAAGUCUGACCGAGCAACGCCGCGUGAGUGAAGAAGGUUUUCGGAUCGGAAAAAUCUGUUGGUAGAGAAGAACGUUGGGGAGAGUGGAAAGCUCAUCAAGUGACGGUAACUACCCAGAAAGGGACGGCUAACUACGUG
This 497-nucleotide ribosomal RNA is filed under the name uncultured bacterium. Its description in RNAcentral is "partial 16S ribosomal RNA". It matches the Rfam family "Bacterial small subunit ribosomal RNA", at positions 28 to 507 of the family's 1533-position model. The record is from RNAcentral.